GGAGAGGUCGCAUAGUGGCUUAGUGCGCACGCUUGGAAAGCGUGUAAAGUGAAAGCUUUCGGGGGUUCGAAUCCCCCUCUCUCCGCCA
RNAcentral lists this transfer RNA (88 nucleotides) under bacterium. RNAcentral describes it as "tRNA-Ser". It matches the Rfam family "tRNA". From Rfam's summary of the family: Transfer RNA (tRNA) molecules are approximately 80 nucleotides in length. Their secondary structure includes four short double-helical elements and three loops (D, anti-codon, and T loops). The record is from RNAcentral.